CACUAAAACAUGUUUAAAAAUUUAUCUUGAAGAAAAACGUAGGAAAUUUCAAAUUUGCAGCUAAAAAAUCAGCGAAAAAAUUUUUUUUUCAAAAUUUGAGGAGGUUGGGUAUGCUAAAUAUUUAGCAGACCCAAGGAAAAAUAUUUAGCAGACCAAAGAUAGGUAUGCUAAAUACUUAGCAGACCAAAGAUAGGUAUGCUAAAUAUUUAGCAGACCAAAGAAGGGUAUGCUAAAUAUUUAGCAGACCCAAGGUGGGUAUGCUAAAUAUUUAGCAGACCCAAGGAAAAAUAUUUAGCAGACCAAAGAUAGGUAUGCUAAAUAUUUAGCAGACCAAAGAUGGAUAUGCUAAA
Caenorhabditis elegans is the source of this 350-nucleotide non-coding RNA. The record is from Ensembl. Lineage: Eukaryota; Metazoa; Nematoda; Chromadorea; Rhabditida; Rhabditidae.